RNAcentral lists this ribosomal RNA (569 nucleotides) under uncultured bacterium. Its description in RNAcentral is "partial 16S ribosomal RNA". It matches the Rfam family "Bacterial small subunit ribosomal RNA", at positions 355 to 912 of the family's 1533-position model. The record is from RNAcentral.
UGGGGAAUAUUGCACAAUGGGCGCAAGCCUGAUGCAGCCAUGCCGCGUGUGUGAAGAAGGCCUUCGGGUUGUAAAGCACUUUCAGCGAGGAGGAAGGUGGUGAACUUAAUACGUUCAUCAAUUGACGUUACUCGCAGAAGAAGCACCGGCUAACUCCGUGCCAGCAGCCGCGGUAAUACGGAGGGUGCAAGCGUUAAUCGGAAUUACUGGGCGUAAAGCGCACGCAGGCGGUUUGUUAAGUCAGAUGUGAAAUCCCCGGGCUCAACCUGGGAACUGCAUUUGAAACUGGCAAGCUAGAGUCUCGUAGAGGGGGGUAGAAUUCCAGGUGUAGCGGUGAAAUGCGUAGAGAUCUGGAGGAAUACCGGUGGCGAAGGCGGCCCCCUGGACGAAGACUGACGCUCAGGUGCGAAAGCGUGGGGAGCAAACAGGAUUAGAUACCCCUGGUAGGUCCACGCUGUAAAACGAUGUCGAUUUUGGAGGUUGUGCCCUUGAGGCGUGGCUUCCGGAGCUAACGCGUUAAAUCGACCGCCUGGGGAGUACGGCCGCAAGGUUAAAACUCAAAUGAAUUG